GAAGAAGAAUUUUGCCAAAACAAAUUUGAUUUGAAUUGUUCUCUGUGAUUCGCGCCCUGCAGAUUUGGUGCGCCUUUGCUGGGAUUAUGGGGUUCCAGUUUGUGCAUUGAUGUCAGUUUGCUCCUACAUAAAUUAUAGAACUAAUUUUUUUUUUUUGAAAGGCUACUGAUUUUACAUUCUUAGAUAUUCACUAUGUAGGAGAAAUGGCUGUUGAAAUAGGGUCUGGGCUUCCACACGUAAUGUGCAAGGAACAGGAUGCGUCAGUGUGAGAAUAACAGAUCCUGUAUUGUUUCUUGCAUAGUGUUUUUUUAAUGCCUUUUUAUUAAAUCAAUGCUCUUUGGACUGGCUUCACAAAUACUCUUCUAUUUUAUUUCUAGAAGUAUUAAGAAAGAGUGUAAUUUAAAAGGGUUUUACUGGGUUUUGAUUGUUAGACAAAUUGUAGCUGGCUCUUAAUUAGAGCUUCUUCUUUGCCUAUUUGUUAUCCAAUUUGUUCAUGUCUAUGGUCUUAGAGAUGGAAGAAUUUUGGCUUUCCAAGCACAUUACUAUUUAUCUAUCCAGCUAUGAACCAGGGCAUAGGCACAACCAGAGCAUGUAAAACACUUAAUUUUGGUAGUACCUGACUACCUGCUCGAUUUACUUCAGAAUCACCUGCAGCCACUGAGUAGCUUACAAGGUUUCGAACAACAUAUGGGAGGAGAAAGUUCUAAACCAAUGGGAAUCUAAUUUUACUUCUAAAAAAAUGAACAAGUAAGAGUGCUCUGUCUUUGGCUUUGGCUUAAUUCGCUGCACCCUUAAAUUGCUUCAUUUACAUUUUAUAAAUUUCUUUCUUUAAUGCACCAAGUUUGUUAAUUUUCUUAACAUCUAAUGUUUGUUAUGCAAUUGGCUGAUCUCAUAACAUGGGGAGUUUUAACAGGUUAGCACUCUCUAUGUUGGGUGUGAGUGUGACCAUGUUGGAGAUGCAAUAUUGUCAAAGAAAGUUCUUACGUUACUUGCAACUAAUAAAUUCCAAUGCUUGACAUAUAUCUUUCCUAUAGCUGAUUAAAUUUUAUUUCAUCCUACUACUUUUUGUCUCCUAAUACAAAAAUCUGUUGUGUUUUUGGACUCUGAGACUUGCUGUUCUGGGACAUUUGUGCACUUGAUCUACAUUUUCAAAUAAAUUGAUUUAGAUUCAUACAUAUGUUUCCUCAAGCAAGCUCUUUCCUGCUCUUUUCCUUCUUAGGUUAUUGGUCCAACUACACCUUCUUACAUUUAUGCCUUUUCUUUUUUCCCCCCCUUUAACUUUCAAAUUUAGCUUCUACCCCUUUCCCAUGAUCAACCUAAGUUUAUACCUCUGUUAUACUUAUACCUCUGGAUUUGGAUGCCAUGAGGAAGAUGUAGCCUUGACUGAAGGCGCAAAGUGUUUGUUAAUUACUUGAUGGAAUAUCUAAGUCAUUACAUGUUCAGUGAAACAAGCGAUGUUGAUGAAGAUGGUGCUAAUGCUAAUGCUAUGGUCUCCUAAAAUAAAUGAACUUCAACUUGAGAGUCUGUAGUGCAUUAGUACCCUCUUUUUUAAUGUGCAGGUUCAAAUGAGACAGAUGCAGCAAUUUUUGCAUUCACGUAAUUUCAUGUAUUCCUUUCUCAAAUUAGUACUUAACAUUUGUUGGUAUAAUCCUAAGAACGAAGAGUAUUUUCCAUAAUGGAGCAUCACUGGAAGGACCAGAACCAGUUAAUGAUGUGAUGAGGGUUUCUUUUUCCCCAAAAUUAGAAUGCAGUUUGGACCGAACACUGGGAUUUCUGACUCUUUUCACUGGUGAGACAAGCGAAAUUCACGUAAAAGUCGAAGAACAAAUGGACACCAAUGUGACAGUGGAGAGAAAAACAUUCUGGACACCAAUGUCCUUUUCAUUGAUGAGGUGAUCAUACCUGACAGAAUGUUUUUCUUUUCUCAAUCGAGCUCUAGAGAAUGUGAUGGGUCUAUUAGUUGUUGUUGGGGUAUGAAAGUGUUUUAGGAGUGAAUGAAUGUUUGUUUAAAGAGAUUUUUAUAAUUCUUAGAAGCCAUACUUUGAGAUAUUUCUAUACAUGGGGCAUGAUAUUAAUAGGGCAAAGUUUUCAGCCAUCUAUUGUCUCUUCAACAGCUUCAAGAGACAGCACAAC
Long non-coding RNA from Lotus japonicus, 2133 nucleotides. RefSeq lists it as uncharacterized. Lineage: Eukaryota; Viridiplantae; Streptophyta; Magnoliopsida; Fabales; Fabaceae. The transcript is spliced from 3 exons. The record is from RefSeq and is a predicted model, not a curated record.